Molecule: ribosomal RNA, 224 nt
Filed under: uncultured bacterium
Lineage: Bacteria
Description: partial 16S ribosomal RNA
Rfam family: Bacterial small subunit ribosomal RNA
Source: RNAcentral
UACGUAGGGGUGCAAGCGUUGUCCGGAAUUAUUGGGCGUAAAGAGCUCGUAGGCGGUCUGUCACGUCGGCUGUGAAAACCCGAGGCUCAACCUCGGGCCUGCAGUCGAUACGGGCAAACUAGAGUACUGCAGGGGAGACUGGAAUUCCUGGUGUAGCGGUGAAAUGCGCAGAUAUCAGGAGGAACACCGGUGGCGAAGGCGGGUCUCUGGGGCAGUAAACUGAC